UGUAGUCUAUAGAGGCGUGGUCAGCGUGAGCUCUGGGCAAGUUCCUGGAAAAGGACAGCAUGGAGGGUGAUACUCCCGUUCAUCUCCGAGUGGCUCGUGCGUACGACCCGUUUUCUUUGAGUCGCGUUGUUUGAGAAUGCAGCGCAAAGUAGGUGGUAAAUUCCAUCUAAAGCUAAAUAUUGGUGCGAGACCGAUAGCAUACAAGUACCGUGAGGGAAAGAUGAAAAGAACUUUGAAAAGAGAGUUAAAGAGUACCUGAAACUGCUGAAAGGGAACCGAAUCGUUUCCAGUGUCUAUAAUCUGUGGCAUAUUUCAUUGGCGAGUGUGUGCGUGCGUGUGCUGUGGCAGCGGCCUUUUGGCUGCGCUUGGCGCGUGUGGUGUGUGUGCUUGCUGGUGCCCUGUGCUGCGGUGGGACGUCAAUGUCAGUUCGUAUGCUGCGGGAAAUAGCUGCCGAGGAGGUAGGGCUUACGCUUGCGUUUGUCUGUUAUAUCUUGGUGGACGAGUCGUCGUGGUUGGGACUGAGGUGCCUACAACGUGCUUUUGAGUGGGUUUGUGUCUCCGUGUGUGCCGUGUGCGGAUAGCUUGCUAUGCGUGUGUGGUUAUGUGUGGAUUGAUAUGGGCUUUAACUUGUUGCCGUUCGGGACGUUGACGAAAUGGAGCGAUCCGACCCGUCUUGAAACACGGACCAAGGAGUCUAACAUGUGUGCAAGUGUUAGGGUGUGGAAACCCCAGCGCGAAAUGAAAGUAAAGGGCAGCGCAAGCUGUCUGAGGUAGGAAACGUUGCGGGCUUCGGUCUGCGGCGUGGCACUAUCGACCGAUCAUGAACCUUCGUGGUGAAAGAUUUGAGUUUGAGCACAUAUGUUGGUACCCGAAAGAUGGUGAACUAUGCCUGAGUAGGGUGAAGCCAGGGGAAACUCUGGUGGAAGCUCGUAGCGAUUCUGACGUGCAAAUCGAUCGUCAAACUUGGGUAUAGGGGCGAAAGACUAAUCGAACCAUCUAGUAGCUGGUUCCCUCCGAAAUUUCCCUCAGGAUAGCAGCAACUUAUUUACGAUAGUUUUAUGAGGUAAAGCGAAUGAUUAGAGGAUUCGGGGAAGAAACUUCCUCGACCUAUUCUCAAACUUUAAAUCUGUAAGACCUGCAGGUUUCUUAAUUGAACUUGUGG
Molecule: ribosomal RNA, 1162 nt
Filed under: Peronospora ranunculi-sardoi
Lineage: Eukaryota; Oomycota; Peronosporomycetes; Peronosporales; Peronosporaceae
Description: partial 28S ribosomal RNA
Rfam family: Eukaryotic large subunit ribosomal RNA
Source: RNAcentral